AUUCGGAUAGGAGAUGGGGUUCCUCCUUUUAACCGCCGCAUCGGCUGAUGACUCCUGGCAUGAC
Molecule: regulatory RNA element, 64 nt
Organism: Acidomonas methanolica NBRC 104435
Lineage: Bacteria; Pseudomonadati; Pseudomonadota; Alphaproteobacteria; Acetobacterales; Acetobacteraceae
Rfam family: Fluoride riboswitch aptamer (crcB RNA motif)
Source: Rfam